AUACGGAGGGUGCAAGCGUUACUCGGAAUCACUGGGCGUAAAGCGCGCGCAGGCGGGCUGAUAAGUUGGAUGUGAAAGCCUACGGCUCAACCGUAGAACUGCAUCCAAAACUGUCAGUCUAGAGUGUGGGAGAGGAAGAUGGAAUUAGUUGUGUAGGGGUAAAAUCCGUAGAGAUAACUAGGAAUACCAAAAGCGAAGGCAAUCUUCUGGAACACUACUGACGCUGAGGCGCGAAGGCGUGGGGAGCAAACAGGAUUAGAUACCCUAGUAGUCC
RNAcentral lists this ribosomal RNA (274 nucleotides) under uncultured bacterium. RNAcentral describes it as "partial 16S ribosomal RNA". It matches the Rfam family "Bacterial small subunit ribosomal RNA", at positions 523 to 796 of the family's 1533-position model. The record is from RNAcentral.